GACGAACGCUGGCGGCGUGCUUAACACAUGCAAGUCGAACGAAGUGGCGAACGGGUGAGUAACACAUAAUCAACCUGCCCUUCAACGGGGGACAACAGUUGGAAACGACUGCUAAUCCCGCAUACUGUAGGAGGGGAUUGCGUCUGAUUAGCUAGUUGGAUGGGUAACGGCCCACCAAGGCGAUGAUCGGUAGGCGGUCUGAGGGGAGGAACGGCCAAAUUGGGACUGAGACAAGGCCCAGAAUCCUACGGGGGGGAGCAGUGGGGAAUUUUCCGCAAUGGAAGAAAGGCUGACGGAGCAACGCCGGGGGAGUGAUGACGGCCUUCGGGUUGGAAAGCUCUGUUAAUCGGGACGCGGUACCGGAAUAGAAAGCCACGGCUAACUACGUGCCAGCAGCCGCGGUAAUAC
Molecule: ribosomal RNA, 408 nt
Filed under: uncultured bacterium
Lineage: Bacteria
Description: partial 16S ribosomal RNA
Rfam family: Bacterial small subunit ribosomal RNA
Source: RNAcentral